UACGGAGGAUCCAAGCGUUAUCCGGAAUCAUUGGGUUUAAAGGGUCCGUAGGCGGGUUAAUCAGUCAGUGGUGAAAGUCUGCAGCUUAACUGUAGAAUUGCCAUUGAUACUGUUAACCUUGGGUAAUUAUGAAGUGGUUAGAAUAUGUCGUGUAGCGGUGAAAUGCAUAGAUAUUACAUAGAAUACCGAUUGCGAAGGCAGAUCACUGAAAAUAUACUGACGCUGAUGGACGAAAGCGUAGGUAGCGAACAGG
Molecule: unclassified non-coding RNA, 253 nt
Filed under: uncultured Flavobacteriaceae bacterium
Lineage: Bacteria; Pseudomonadati; Bacteroidota; Flavobacteriia; Flavobacteriales; Flavobacteriaceae
Description: contains 16S-23S intergenic spacer region
Rfam family: Bacterial small subunit ribosomal RNA
Source: RNAcentral